RNAcentral lists this ribosomal RNA (744 nucleotides) under Escherichia coli. Its description in RNAcentral is "partial 23S ribosomal RNA". It matches the Rfam family "Bacterial large subunit ribosomal RNA", at positions 419 to 1163 of the family's 2925-position model. Lineage: Bacteria; Pseudomonadati; Pseudomonadota; Gammaproteobacteria; Enterobacterales; Enterobacteriaceae. The record is from RNAcentral.
GGGACACGUGGUAUCCUGUCUGAAUAUGGGGGGACCAUCCUCCAAGGCUAAAUACUCCUGACUGACCGAUAGUGAACCAGUACCGUGAGGGAAAGGCGAAAAGAACCCCGGCGAGGGGAGUGAAAAAGAACCUGAAACCGUGUACGUACAAGCAGUGGGAGCACGCUUAGGCGUGUGACUGCGUACCUUUUGUAUAAUGGGUCAGCGACUUAUAUUCUGUAGCAAGGUUAACCGAAUAGGGGAGCCGAAGGGAAACCGAGUCUUAACUGGGCGUUAAGUUGCAGGGUAUAGACCCGAAACCCGGUGAUCUAGCCAUGGGCAGGUUGAAGGUUGGGUAACACUAACUGGAGGACCGAACCGACUAAUGUUGAAAAAUUAGCGGAUGACUUGUGGCUGGGGGUGAAAGGCCAAUCAAACCGGGAGAUAGCUGGUUCUCCCCGAAAGCUAUUUAGGUAGCGCCUCGUGAAUUCAUCUCCGGGGGUAGAGCACUGUUUCGGCAAGGGGGUCAUCCCGACUUACCAACCCGAUGCAAACUGCGAAUACCGGAGAAUGUUAUCACGGGAGACACACGGCGGGUGCUAACGUCCGUCGUGAAGAGGGAAACAACCCAGACCGCCAGCUAAGGUCCCAAAGUCAUGGUUAAGUGGGAAACGAUGUGGGAAGGCCCAGACAGCCAGGAUGUUGGCUUAGAAGCAGCCAUCAUUUAAAGAAAGCGUAAUAGCUCACUGGUCGAGUCGGCCUGCG